GCCCUGGUAGCUCAGUGGUAGAGCAUUGGACUUUUAAUCCAAGGGCCGCGGGUUCGAAUCCCGUCUGGGGUG
Transfer RNA from Hepatospora eriocheir, 72 nucleotides. It matches the Rfam family "tRNA". From Rfam's summary of the family: Transfer RNA (tRNA) molecules are approximately 80 nucleotides in length. The record is from Rfam. Lineage: Eukaryota; Fungi; Microsporidia; Hepatosporidae.